RNAcentral lists this ribosomal RNA (754 nucleotides) under uncultured bacterium. RNAcentral's name for it is "bacterial SSU rRNA". It matches the Rfam family "Bacterial small subunit ribosomal RNA", at positions 48 to 843 of the family's 1533-position model. The record is from RNAcentral.
CUUAUACAUGCAGUCGUACGAGAGCUUCUAGCUUAAGUGGCGGACGGGUGAGUAACACGUAAGAAUUUACCUUUAGGAGGGGGACAACAGUUGGAAACGACUGCUAAUACCCCAUAUGCUUUAUAGUGAAACGGUUUUUCCGCCUAAAGAGAAGCUUGCGGCUGAUUAGCUUGUUGGUAGGGUAAUAGCCUACCAAGGCGACGAUCAGUAUCUGGUUUGAGAGGAUGAUCAGACACACUGGAACUGAGACACGGUCCAGACUCCUACGGGAGGCAGCAGUAGGGAAUUUUCCGCAAUGGGCGAAAGCCUGACGGAGCAAUACCGCGUGAGGGAUGACUGCCUAUGGGUUGUAAACCUCUUUUUUCAGGGAGGAAUCAAUGACGUGUACCUGAAGAAUAAGCAUCGGCUAACUCCGUGCCAGCAGCCGCGGUAAGACGGAGGAUGCAAGUGUUAUCCGGAAUCACUGGGCGUAAAGCGUCUGUAGGUGGUUAAAUAAGUCAACUGUUAAAUCUUGGAGCUCAACUUCAAAAUCGCAGUCGAAACUAUUAGACUAGAGUAUAGUAGAGGUAAAGGGAAUUUCCAGUGGAGCGGUGAAAUGCGUAGAGAUUGGAAAGAACACCGAUGGCGAAGGCACUUUACUGGGCUAUUACUGACACUCAGAGACGAAAGCUAGGGUAGCAAAUGGGAUUAGAUACCCCAGUAGUCCUAGCCGUAAACAAUGGAUACUAGGUGUUGAACAGAUCGAACUGUGCAG